RNAcentral lists this ribosomal RNA (527 nucleotides) under uncultured bacterium. RNAcentral's name for it is "bacterial SSU rRNA". It matches the Rfam family "Bacterial small subunit ribosomal RNA", at positions 8 to 573 of the family's 1533-position model. The record is from RNAcentral.
AGAGUUUGAUCCUGGCUCAGGAUGAACGCUGGCGGUAUGCUUAACACAUGCAAGUCGUACGAGAGUUUUUAACUCAAGUGGCGGACGGGUGAGUAACACGUGAGAAUUUACCUUUAGGAGGGGGAUAACAAUUGGAAACGAUUGCUAAUACCCCAUAUGCUUUUUUAAGUGAAAUGGAUUUUUCUGCCUAAAGAAAAGCUCGCGGCUGAUUAGCUAGUUGGUAAGGUAAUGGCUUACCAAGGCGACGAUCAGUAUCUGGUUUGAGAGGACGAUCAGACACACUGGAACUGAGAUACGGUCCAGACUCCUACGGGAGGCAGCAGUGGGAUUUUCCGCAAUGGGCGAAAGCCUGACGGAGCAAUACCGCGUGAGGGAAGACAGCCUACUGGGUUGUAAACCUCUUUUUUCAGGGAGGAAAAAAAUGACGUGUACCUGAAGAAUAAGCAUCGGCUAACUCCGUGCCAGCAGCCGCGGUAAGACGGAGGAUGCAAGUGUUAUCCGGAAUUACUGGGCGUAAAGCGUCUGUA